This 1805-nucleotide long non-coding RNA is filed under the name Elaeis guineensis (African oil palm). RNAcentral's name for it is "long non-coding RNA (EGUI_LNC003223)". Lineage: Eukaryota; Viridiplantae; Streptophyta; Magnoliopsida; Arecales; Arecaceae. The record is from RNAcentral.
GCUUCAGCUGAAUUGCUUACAUGAUAUGCUAAGUCAGAUCUAAACCAAGCCCUGCCUAGCUGGGUUUACGCCCCUGCUCACCACAAUCGCUACCUUGUUUGCUUCGGAAUACUAUUAUUUAAUAGUUUGAUCACUUUUUUCCCCCAACCAUCGAUCCUAAAACCGGACAAUUAGGAUCACGUUACCAACCAUAUAUUUUAUCAUCCAUCAUGCAAGUCAUGUGGGGUCUUCGCCAGCAGUACUUUCAAUUAGUCAUGGAAGGAAAAUGGGAUGAGACUAUGAUUGGGCACAACUUCCGAAAAAUGUAGGGCUAAAAUAAAUGAUAAUUCAAUUUUUCAUGAGAAUUGUGCUUGCUUCUACAAUUGCGUGCUAACAAUAGUAAUAGGGUGGUGGAUGGGAAGGACUAAUCUUUACUCAUAAGUUCAGCAUUUGAUAAUAAUUUGGCUGCAGGUAAACAUUCAGAGUUUGGAAAAGGCCUAGCCAAUUUUUCAAAAAUGGGGAAAGCGUUCAAAUAAUCAAAAAUUAAAGAAUACGUGCUAUAAACAUAUGUUUUAGAACUGUUUAUAUUAAAAAUAAGGUAUGAAAGAGGUAAGAAUGAUAAAUGAUGGCAAACACAUUGAGACAACAUGAUCAUCCACUAGGUUGUAAGGCAUGUGGAUCUCUAAAGUAGCUUUGGCUAACUUGGGAACAAUUCAUAAAAUAUGCGGAUGCACAAAUCCGGUUUGUUUGCUGAUUGAAAAUAAUUCUGAGAAUCAUUCGACCAAGGGAAAGAAAAUGAGAAUAAUUCAAGGAUUUUCUUUUAAUAAUCUGGAGAACAUUUGUUACCGUGAACACAGAUAUCUACAUCAAUAUACAUCAUCUGCAUUUGCUGACUUUUGCAUUGCCCCAAAAUGGGGAUCCAGGCAAUGGACUGUUUCCCAUCCUAUGUACGUGGACUUUCUGAAACGGCCAACACCCUCAUAACCAUCCCUCUAUUUUGAGAACAAUGGUGGUAAGUCUCCAGUUUUUUUAACAAAAGCCACGGAAGAAUUUUCCAUGCCACAUAUUUGGAGAAACACCUCCUAAGGUUCAGAUGUAAAUUCUCCUCCCACUAAACAUGGAUGCAACCACUUGGUGGCUGGUCUUGUUUGCUUAUGGUAGUCUUUGUUUUCUCCACUUUGCCUUGUAUCAUGCAUUCCAUGAAAGUAAAUUUUUCCUAAUAAAAACAGUAGAGAAGAUGAUAAUCUUGUAUUGCUAUUUUAUUCCACUAUAUUUACAUUGCUAAUUCAAAGUAAUUUAAAUUACUUUCAGUGUGUAACUUAGGGAGCAUAUGUAACUAUUGAAGCUGCAUUAGAAGUGGUGUUCCAUAGAUCCAUAGGAAGCUCACAGGCAUAGGGCAGAUUUAUCAGGCGACAUGGAUAUGGGGACCCAUUAAAAUUCAACCGCACAGCAUGGUCAUUUGCAGAUACUGAGCUAAAAGAUUAGCCAUAAUGUUCCAAAAUUUUGGCAUUUUAGCGUAGGAUUUUAGCUAAAAUAAAAUGCCUUACCUAAAAUAUUCUUAGAUCCCUGUCCAAAGUUGCGUUGGAUAACUUAACGCAUUCUAGCGGGUCUAUCAGAAUAUUCUUUGAGAGAACUGGUAGAUAUGAAUAUAUUUUUGCUGGGAACUAUAUUCUCAUGGUUUAGAUCUAGGCAACCACAUGCUUGAUAGGUCCAUCCGAUCCCAACUUUUUAGAUCCUUUCACAUAAAUCCAAAUUCCUCUCUUUAAUCAGCUUCAUGUCUCUGCUAAGCAUACGUAAAGUCUCAAUCACUCUUCAGGCCAUUUCUC